This 500-nucleotide ribosomal RNA is filed under the name uncultured bacterium. RNAcentral's name for it is "partial 16S ribosomal RNA". It matches the Rfam family "Bacterial small subunit ribosomal RNA", at positions 30 to 523 of the family's 1533-position model. The record is from RNAcentral.
AUUGAACGCUGGCGGCAGGCCUAACACAUGCAAGUCGAGCGGAUGACGGGAGCUUGCUCCUUGAUUCAGCGGCGGACGGGUGAGUAAUGCCUAGGAAUCUGCCUGGUAGUGGGGGACAACAUUUCGAAAGGAACGCUAAUACCGCAUACGUCCUACGGGAGAAAGCAGGGGACCUUCGGGCCUGGCGCUCUCAGAUGAGCCGAGGUAGGAUUAGCUUGUUGGUGAGGUAAUGGAUCACCAAGGCGACGAUCCGGAACUGGUCUGAGAGGAUGAUCAGUCACACUGGAACUGAGACACGGUCCAGACUCCUACGGGAGGCAGCAGUGGGGAAUAUUGGACAAUGGGCGAAAGCCUGAUCCAGCCAUGCCGCGUGUGUGAAGAAGGUCUUCGGAUUGUAAAGCACUUUAAGUUGGGAGGAAGGGUUGUAGAUUAAUACUCUGCAAUUUUGACGUUACCGACAGAAUAAGCACCGGCUAACUCUGUGCCAGCCGCCGCCGUAA